Long non-coding RNA from Pipistrellus kuhlii (Kuhl's pipistrelle), 169 nucleotides. RefSeq lists it as uncharacterized. NCBI's taxonomy places the organism in Eukaryota, Metazoa, Chordata, Mammalia, Chiroptera, Vespertilionidae. The transcript has 2 exons. The record is from RefSeq and is a predicted model, not a curated record.
CACUCCAAUGGUGAUGACUUUUUCCACUGAGAAAUUCCUAUAUUCCUGUGAAAUCUCACUGCCACUGUGUGGCUCCUCGGUGCUGAGAGGGGCCUGGUGCUGGAGAAGGUCUGGGAUGGCUGGGAAGUCUUCCCCAACCUCCCAAUUAGUUGAAGGCACCCAAGGUAAG